This 1310-nucleotide ribosomal RNA is filed under the name Beltrania mundkurii. RNAcentral describes it as "partial large subunit ribosomal RNA". It matches the Rfam family "Eukaryotic large subunit ribosomal RNA", at positions 76 to 1414 of the family's 3401-position model. The record is from RNAcentral. Lineage: Eukaryota; Fungi; Ascomycota; Sordariomycetes; Amphisphaeriales; Beltraniaceae.
UCCCCUAGUAACGGCGAGUGAAGCGGGAACAGCUCAAAUUUGAAAUCUGGCCUUCGGGUCCGAAUUGUAAUUUGCAGAGGAUGCUUUUGGUUAGGUACUUUCCGAGUUCCCUGGAACGGGACGCCUUAGAGGGUGAGAGCCCCGUACGGUUGGAUACCGAGCCUUUGUAAAGCUCCUUCGACGAGUCGAGUAGUUUGGGAAUGCUGCUCUAAAUGGGAGGUAAAUUUCUUCUAAAGCUAAAUACCGGCCAGAGACCGAUAGCGCACAAGUAGAGUGAUCGAAAGAUGAAAAGCACUUUGAAAAGAGGGUUAAAUAGCACGUGAAAUUGUUGAAAGGGAAGCGUUUAUGACCAGACUUUUUCCAGGCGGAUCAUCCGGUGUUCUCACCGGUGCACUUCGUCUGGUUGAGGCCAGCAUCGGUUUUCGUAGAGGGAUAAAAGCAGUAGGAAUGUGAUUCCCCCGGGAAUGUUAUAGCCUAUUGUAUAAUACCUUUAUGGGGACCGAGGUUCGCGCUCUGCAAGGAUGCUGGCGUAAUGGUCAUCAACGACCCGUCUUGAAACACGGACCAAGGAGUCGAACAUUUGUGCAAGUGUUUGGGUGUUAAACCCUCACGCGUAAUGAAAGUGAACGGAGGUGAGAGCCCUUACGGGUGCAUCAUCGACCGAUCCUGAUGUUUUCGGAUGGAUUUGAGUAAGAGCAUAACUGUUCGGACCCGAAAGAUGGUGAACUAUGCGUGGAUAGGGUGAAGCCAGAGGAAACUCUGGUGGAGGCUCGCAGCGGUUCUGACGUGCAAAUCGAUCGUCAAAUCUGCGCAUGGGGGCGAAAGACUAAUCGAACCAUCUAGUAGCUGGUUACCGCCGAAGUUUCCCUCAGGAUAGCAGUGUUGUCUUCAGUUUUAUGAGGUAAAGCGAAUGAUUAGGGACUCGGGGGCGCUUUUUAGCCUUCAUCCAUUCUCAAACUUUAAAUAUGUAAGAAGCCCUUGUUACUUAAUUGAACGUGGGCAUUCGAAUGUACCAACACUAGUGGGCCAUUUUUGGUAAGCAGAACUGGCGAUGCGGGAUGAACCGAACGCGGGGUUAAGGUGCCAGAGUAGACGCUCAUCAGACACCACAAAAGGUGUUAGUACAUCUUGACAGCAGGACGGUGGCCAUGGAAGUCGGAAUCCGCUAAGGACUGUGUAACAACUCACCUGCCGAAUGUACUAGCCCUGAAAAUGGAUGGCGCUCAAGCGUCUCACCCAUACCUCGCCCUUAGGGUAGAAACGAUGCCCUAAGGAGUAGGCGGCCGUGGAGGUCAGUGACGAAGCCUAGG